Molecule: ribosomal RNA, 843 nt
Filed under: Flavobacterium ginsengisoli
Lineage: Bacteria; Pseudomonadati; Bacteroidota; Flavobacteriia; Flavobacteriales; Flavobacteriaceae
Description: bacterial SSU rRNA
Rfam family: Bacterial small subunit ribosomal RNA
Source: RNAcentral
AUUCUUCGGAAUCUGAGACCGGCGCACGGGUGCGUAACGCGUAUGCAAUCUGCCUUUCACAGAGGGAUAGCCCAGAGAAAUUUGGAUUAAUACCUCAUAGCAUAAUGAGUUGGCAUCAGCACAUUAUUAAAGUCACAACGGUGAAAGAUGAGCAUGCGUCCCAUUAGCUAGUUGGUAAGGUAACGGCUUACCAAGGCAACGAUGGGUAGGGGUCCUGAGAGGGAGAUCCCCCACACUGGUACUGAGACACGGACCAGACUCCUACGGGAGGCAGCAGUGAGGAAUAUUGGUCAAUGGGCGCAAGCCUGAACCAGCCAUGCCGCGUGCAGGAUGACGGUCCUAUGGAUUGUAAACUGCUUUUGUACGGGAAGAAACACUCCUUCGUGAAGGAGCUUGACGGUACCGUAAGAAUAAGGAUCGGCUAACUCCGUGCCAGCAGCCGCGGUAAUACGGAGGAUCCAAGCGUUAUCCGGAAUCAUUGGGUUUAAAGGGUCCGUAGGCGGUCUUGUAAGUCAGUGGUGAAAGCCCAUCGCUCAACGGUGGAACGGCCAUUGAUACUGCAGGACUUGAAUUAUUGGGAAGUAACUAGAAUAUGUAGUGUAGCGGUGAAAUGCUUAGAGAUUACAUGGAAUACCAAUUGCGAAGGCAGGUUACUACCAAUUGAUUGACGCUGAUGGACGAAAGCGUGGGUAGCGAACAGGAUUAGAUACCCUGGUAGUCCACGCCGUAAACGAUGGAUACUAGCUGUUGGGGGCAACUUCAGUGGCUAAGCGAAAGUGAUAAGUAUCCCACCUGGGGAGUACGAACGCAAGUUUGAAACUCAAAGGAAUUGACGGGGGCCCG